Molecule: ribosomal RNA, 469 nt
Filed under: uncultured actinomycete
Lineage: Bacteria; Bacillati; Actinomycetota; Actinomycetes; Actinomycetales
Description: bacterial SSU rRNA
Rfam family: Bacterial small subunit ribosomal RNA
Source: RNAcentral
GACGAACGCUGGCGGCGUGCUUAACACAUGCAAGUCGAACGAUGAAGCUGGAGCUUGCUCCGGUGGAUUAGUGGCGAACGGGUGAGUAACACGUGAGCAAUCUGCCCUUGACUCUGGGAUAACUGCGGGAAACUGUAGCUAAUACCGGAUACGACCCUUGGAGGCAUCUCUGGGGGUGGAAAGAAUUUCGGUCAAGGAUGAGCUCGCGGCCUAUCAGCUAGUUGGUGAGGUAAUGGCUCACCAAGGCGACGACGGGUAGCCGGCCUGAGAGGGUGACCGGCCACACUGGAACUGAGACACGGUCCAGACUCCUACGGGAGGCAGCAGUGGGGAAUAUUGCACAAUGGGCGAAAGCCUGAUGCAGCAACGCCGCGUGAGGGAUGAAGGCCUUCGGGUUGUAAACCUCUUUUAGCAGGGAAGAAGCGAAAGUGACGGUACCUACAGAAAAAGCACCGGCUAACUACGUGCC